AACAAACGCUGGCGGCGUGCCUAAUACAUGCAAGUCGAACGGGUAGCAAUACCAGUGGCGCACGGGUGAGGAAUACAUAGAUAAUCUGCCUUCGAGUCGGGGAUAACCAGUCGAAAGAUUGGCUAAUACCGGAUAAGACCACAAGAUCUGCGGUUCUAGGGGUUAAAGGUUUUUCGCUUGAAGAUGAGUCUAUGCGAGAUUAGCUAGUUGGUGAGGUAAUGGCUCACCAAGGCGACGAUCUCUAACUGGUCUUAGAGGAUGAUCAGUCACACUGGAACUGAGACACGGUCCAGACUCCUACGGGAGGCAGCAGUAGGGUAUAUCGCGCAAUGGGGGAAACCCUGACGCAGCGACGCCGCGUGAGUGAUGAAGGCCUUCGGGUCGUAAAGCUCUGUCGUAUGGGAAUAACACAAUGAAUGUACCAUGCAAGAAAGGAUCGGCUAACUUCGUGCCAGCCGCCGCGGUAA
RNAcentral lists this ribosomal RNA (467 nucleotides) under uncultured bacterium. RNAcentral describes it as "partial 16S ribosomal RNA". It matches the Rfam family "Bacterial small subunit ribosomal RNA", at positions 29 to 523 of the family's 1533-position model. The record is from RNAcentral.